UGGUGGGUAGUUUGACUGGGGCGGUCUCCUCCCAAAGCGUAACGGAGGAGCACGAAGGUUAGCUAAUCCUGGUCGGACAUCAGGAGGUUAGUGCAAUGGCAUAAGCUAGCUUGACUGCGAGCGUGACGGCGCGAGCAGGUGCGAAAGCAGGUCAUAGUGAUCCGGUGGUUCUGAAUGGAAGGGCCAUCGCUCAACGGAUAAAAGGUACUCCGGGGAUAACAGGCUGAUACCGCCCAAGAGUUCAUAUCGACGGCGGUGUUUGGCACCUCGAUGUCGGCUCAUCACAUCCUGGGGCUGAAGUAGGUCCCAAGGGUAUGGCUGUUCGCCAUUUAAAGUGGUACGCGAGCUGGGUUUAGAACGUCGUG
This 365-nucleotide ribosomal RNA is filed under the name Klebsiella pneumoniae. Its description in RNAcentral is "partial 23S ribosomal RNA". It matches the Rfam family "Bacterial large subunit ribosomal RNA", at positions 2259 to 2623 of the family's 2925-position model. Lineage: Bacteria; Pseudomonadati; Pseudomonadota; Gammaproteobacteria; Enterobacterales; Enterobacteriaceae. The record is from RNAcentral.